CGGACGGGUGAGUAACGCGUGAGUAACCUGCCUUACACAAGGGGAUAGCCGUUGGAAACGACGAAUAAUACCCUAUGACAUAAACUCUUCGCAUGAAAGAAACUUAAUCAAAGAUUUAUCGGUGUAAGAUGGACUCGCGUCUGAUUAGCUAGUUGGUGAGGUAACGGCCCACCAAGGCGACGAUCAGUAGCCGGCUUGAGAGAGUGUACGGCCACAUUGGGGACUGAGACACGGCCCAGACUCCUACGGGAGGCAGCAGUU
Molecule: ribosomal RNA, 261 nt
Filed under: uncultured Anaerococcus sp.
Lineage: Bacteria; Bacillati; Bacillota; Tissierellia; Tissierellales; Peptoniphilaceae
Description: partial 16S ribosomal RNA
Rfam family: Bacterial small subunit ribosomal RNA
Source: RNAcentral